GGUGACAGUACCCAUUCAUUUCCUCUUAAGCUGGAAAAGCUCUAGCAAGCUUUGUAUCGUGGGAAAAUCGUUCAAACCAGAAAAGCCAACACCCAACUGUUCUAACCGAGCUCGCCGCCAAUUAUAGUUGAUAUUCACGCCGGAAAACAAGAGAGAGAAAGUAUCUUGGAAAGUAAAGGACGCGAUUUUUCCACUCCCAAUCCGGUUAAAACCCUGACGUUGC
Molecule: unclassified non-coding RNA, 223 nt
Filed under: Hevea brasiliensis (rubber tree)
Lineage: Eukaryota; Viridiplantae; Streptophyta; Magnoliopsida; Malpighiales; Euphorbiaceae
Source: RNAcentral